This 843-nucleotide ribosomal RNA is filed under the name uncultured bacterium. Its description in RNAcentral is "bacterial SSU rRNA". It matches the Rfam family "Bacterial small subunit ribosomal RNA", at positions 92 to 950 of the family's 1533-position model. The record is from RNAcentral.
UUAGCGGCGGACGGGUGAGUAACACGUGAGGAACCUGCUUUUCAGAGGGGGAUAACGUUUGGAAACGAACGCUAAUACCGCAUAAAGUAUAGAUACGGCAUCGUAUUUAUACCAAAGGAGCAAUCCACUGAAAGAUGGCCUCGCGGCUGAUUAGCUAGUUGGCGGGGUAAUGGCCCACCAAGGCGACGAUCAGUAGCCGGACUGAGAGGUUGAACGGCCACAUUGGGACUGAGACACGGCCCAGACUCCUACGGGAGGCAGCAGUGGGGGAUAUUGCACAAUGGGCGAAAGCCUGAUGCAGCGAUGCCGCGUGAAGGAUGAAGGUCUUCGGAUUGUAAACUUCUUUGAUUGGGGACGAUAAUGACGGUACCCAAGGAACAAGCCACGGCUAACUACGUGCCAACAGCCGCGGUAAUACGUAGGGGGCGAGCGUUGUCCGGAAUUACUGGGUGUAAAGGGCGUGUAGGCGGGGAAGCAAGUCAGAUGUGAAAUUCCGGGGCUCAACCCCGGCGCUGCAUCUGAAACUGUUUCUCUUGAGUGCUGGAGAGGAAAGCGGAAUUCCCAGUGUAGCGGUGAAAUGCGUAGAUAUUAGGAGGAACACCAGUGGCGAAGGCGGCUUUCUGGACAGUAACUGACGCUGAGGCGCGAAAGCGUGGGGAGCGAACAGGAUUAGAUACCCUGGUAGUCCACGCCGUAAACGAUGGAUACUAGGUGUAGGAGGUAUCGACCCCUCCUGUGCCGGAGUUAACGCAAUAAGUACCCCGCCUGGGGAGUACGGCCGCAAGGUUGAAACUCAAAGGAAUUGACGGGGGCCCGCACAAGCGGUGGAGUAUGUGGUUUAAU